RNA transcript from Bubalus bubalis (water buffalo), 6155 nucleotides. It is a transcript of the gene named SWT1 RNA endoribonuclease homolog, with no coding region annotated. The record is from RefSeq and is a predicted model, not a curated record. The transcript is spliced from 20 exons. Lineage: Eukaryota; Metazoa; Chordata; Mammalia; Artiodactyla; Bovidae.
GUGGGGGGGUGGUUCCAAGGGCUUGGAGGAAGUAAAUGCAAAGGUAAACAAACGUUCCUGGAAAAUCCCAUGGACAGAGGAGCCUGGUAGGCUACAGUCCAUGGGGUCGCAAAGAGUCGGACACGACUGAGCGACUUCACUUCACUUCAAACAAACGCUCCGGAGCGUUCGAGCGCCAGCUACCUUCUGAGCGCAGAACUACAUUUCCCAGCGGGCGUCGCGCCCGGGGUCCCUUUCUCAGGGUUUGGGCGUCCCAAAUCGCAACCGGCGCGGGCUCUGCUUUGCAAAAUGUCCAACAAAGAAUCUUGUGAAAAAGAGACGUCUCGGAGAAAAGGCACCACCCCAUCAUCCAAUAUUGAAGAUAAGAGAGAGAAAAAAGCAUCAGUAAGUUCUCCUUGUUCAACUUGCUCUGUAAGAUCAGUGUCAUCAGAGAAGAAAAAACUAGAAUCAGAUCUUGCAGAUAUUCUGUACUGUAAUAUGAAAAGAAGACAAGAACUGAAAAGACUGAAUGUAGAAACUGACCCUCCAAGAAAGAGACCAAAAAUUGAUUCUUCAUCCCAAGGACUUGUUACACUCCAGGAAACAUCAUAUUCAAAUAAUAAUCAGAUUAUUUCACAGAGUUCUUCUUCAAAUGGAACUAAGAAAGAUAUAAGUAAAUGUGUAGAUUUUCAAGUUAAAGAUAUUAAAUUGGCAAAUGUUAAGAGUAAGCUGGACCAUGGAAUUAAAAACUUUAGCUGUCCUAAGGUGGCCAAAGAUGUGAAACCAAAAGCUGAAGGCAAGGCAAGUGAAAAAACAUGGCCUCAUUUACUUGCUCAGAGGGAGAAGAUGAAGGAAUUCAAGAAAGAAAGGUCCAAUAAAUUUAGAGACAGUUCUGAAAAAUGUGCUUUGGAGAAAUGCAAGAGAAUCCAACUUUCUCAGGAUUGUAAUUCCAGCAAGAUAAUUAAGGAACCCUUUGAAUCUAGAAGGAGAAGGAUUAAUUUCAAAAUCCUGGUAAAAUCCCGCAAUACCCUCCAAAAUCUUGUACAAGAAAAUGUGUUCAGUUCAGGUUCUAACAAGUUAAAGACUAAACAGGAGAAAAAAGAAUGCCCAGAAGGCACCGAGUUUUCAUUAAAGUUGACAAGGCACAGAAGUGAAUAUUUAUUUUCAGAUUCCACAUAUAAGCAGACUGUUCAUGAGUGGGAAGGAGCAUAUCAUGAGCAUCAAGAAAUUAAUGAUUUAAGUUCUGGUGAAAACCUAACCCAGAGUUUUGAAGCACCAUGUUCUUCAGUGUCACUUGAAAGUAUUCAAGAUACAGAUCAAGAGAUGCAGAUAGUAGAAGAGCUUCAUGCUGCUCGUGUGGGAAAAAGCAUGGAUUUACCUGUGGUUCCACCUUCAGGAGAGUUAAUGAGUAUGGAAAUUGACGUGGUAGAAGAUGAUAUACAUUCCUCUGCUGGUAUACCCUUUAUGUCAAAUGCUGCUUCAGACAAAAAGCUUCUAAUUGUUAUUGACACAAAUAUUCUGAUGAAUCAUCUCAAAUUUGUUAGACUUUUGAAGACAAGAGAAAUCCCAGGCUUUGACAGUCUUGUGUUAAUAAUUCCCUGGGUGGUUUUACAAGAGCUGGAUCGUAUGAAGGCAGGAAGAUUACUGAAACAUGCCCAGCACAAAGCUAUACCUGCAGUUCAUUUCAUCAAUGACAGUCUCAGAAAUCAAGAUAGAAAGCUAUGGGGUCAGUCAAUACAACUUGCAUCUCAAAAACUUUAUGGAUUGAGUGAUGAGAACAAUGAUGAUCGUGUAUUAAAAUGCUGUCUUCAGUACCAAGAACUAUUCCCUUGUUCUCUUGUUAUUUUGUGCACGGAUGAUAGAAAUUUAAGAAACAAAGGCCUAAUAAGUGGUGUGAAGUCAUUCAGUAAAGAAGAAUUGAGUACAGAGUUAUUAAACUUAUCUCUGAACACAGAUGUAUGUCAUCAGCCUUGUAUAUCUAAACAACAAUUGAAAGCAGAAACAACACCUUUGGAGGAGAGCUAUGAGGAACAAUCUACAAACUCUGGACUACCCCUUCUACUUGAAAACAUUGUAUCUGAUCUCGAAAGAUCUCUUGGAACAGCUUUAUCUUCCAUAUUAGAAACAGAAAUGAAAAUUGCUUUUGGAAACCUCUGGAUGGAGAUGCUGUAUGUGAAACCUCCAUGGACUCUAAUACAUUUAUUACAGUGCUUUAGAAAACAUUGGUUGGCUGUAUUUGGAUUAGUUAUGGAAAAGAACUUGCUCUUAACCAUUGAGAGUCUAUAUGAAAAUGUCCGUAAAGCUAACAAAGCAGUGGAUUUUACAACAGUGAAAUUCCUGCUUCAGGAUUCUGAAAGUUUGCUACAUGCUUUCAGUACAAGGUCAAAUUAUGAUGGUAUUCUUCCACAGGCCUUUGCUCAAAUAAACAAACUACUCCAAACAUUUGCAGAGGGCAAGGCAAAACUUAAGCAAAAUUCUUCAAAAAAUACACCGGGUAAAAGCCAGGAAGAUAAUUCUCUGACGAAAUCUGAUAACCAAGAAAUCACCAUUUUCUCCAGUUCUUAUCCUCCCCAACCCAGCAGGCAUCAAGAAAUCUGGUCUGUCCUAGAGAAUGUUUGGAUUACACUGUAUCAAAACAGCAUGGAUGUGUUUCAAAGGUUGGAUUCAAAUUCAACUCUGACGUCUUCAAAGAUAGCAGCAUUUGAAGAAGCAUUUGUAUAUCUUCAAAAGUUAAUGGCAGCUGUUAAAGAUAUUCUGGAAGGAAUUCAGAGGAUUUUGGCCCCCAACAGUAAUUAUCAGGAUAUUGAGACCCUCUAUAACUUCCUAAUCAAGUAUGAGGUAAAUAAAAAUGUCAAAUUUACUGCCCAGGAACUUUAUGACUGUGUUUCACAGGCUGAGUAUCGGGAGAAGUUAACCAUUGGAUGCCGCCAGCUGACGGAGAUGGAACAUACCAUGCAGCAGUGCAAUGCCUCUGUCUCUGUGGAGGCCAGAACCAGGGGGUGGUGUGAAGACAUGCUCGACGAUGGGACUUAAGCACCGAUUUGUAACUUAGAAGGAACUGCAUUUGUCUUCAGGAACAACAGAGUACUUUUCAACCUUUUGUGCCAAACCUGAGAGACUUGCAAGAAAUCUCAUAGGUAUAAAAAGAUGAUUGCCUAAUACUGACAAUCUCAUUGAGCUUCUGUUGCAUCCAUUGUGGAAUAAAUCGUGGACUCAACUCUUCAGAAGUUGACCUUACCUCCCUACCUCUACUCCUAAUACUGAGCCAACGUGACUAAUGAAAGGAGAGCCAUCUUUUUGGACAUCUUAGGGCAAGAGCCACUGUGGCAGCUGAGGAAGGCCAGGAACACAGCAUUAGCAUCUCCCUCAACCCCAAAUAUGGGCUGGUGACCAGAUACUUUCAAACCUCAAGAAAGAAUUAGAACAUGACCAUGAUCAUCAUAUUCCACAGGAGAAAUUUUACCCUGGGCUGUUUUCUGAUCAGACUGCCUUCCAUGUAGACUGGGUGAAGUAAUCACAUCCCUUUAACUUCCCCCAAGGUAUGACUAUAAAAGUGACCCUCUGAUAGAAGAGAAUUAUGCGGAGUGCUUACCACCAGGAAGAAGGAUCUGAUGAGCUUUGUUUGCAUAGAAAGCCACACCUCCUCCCAGGAGCUCAAAGUGCCCUCAGGGAAAUGAGCCCUUGUAGAAGGAGAAGCUUCCAAAGUAUCUCUGCUGUCUGCCUUUUUCCUUUUCCUUCCUCAGGAGCCAAGAAAGCAUCCCCUCCCUUAACAAAAGAGCUUUCAUCAGAUUUUUCUUCCUCAACUACUUCUAGUUAUUAUUGGGUUUUACUGUUUGGGGUUUGUUGUUGUUGUUUUGGCGGUGCCUCGCAGUUCGCAGGAUCUUAGUUCCCCAACCAGGAUUAAACCCAGGGUCAUGGCAGGGAAAGCACCAAGACCGAACCGUGGACUCUGUGGAACUCCCUGCUCUGCUUCAUUACCUCCCUUUUUCCCUUUUAUCUUUUUAAUAUGUUAUACUUUUUAGGAAAUUUCUUUUCACUCUGGUCAUGACUUAUUUCACCCUAUACAUGUGGAUUUUAAUUUUAUCCUAGUCUUUGUGUCUUUCACUUUCUGCAUUGUCAGUUUUCAACCUUUUUAUUUAAAUAUUUAUUAUAAGAUACAAGUGUUUUCUUCUUUCUAGUCUUAUUUUUCUCUUUGGCUACAUUCUUUAAAAAAAUUUUAGUGUUUGUUUCUUUGAAAUGUCAGAUCUUUUUUGUUGCCUUUUCCUGAUUUUAAACUUUCUGCUGUUUUCCCUAAUAGUCCAUUGCAGGAGUUGAGGGCUUCCUUUCCUCCUGUCCCCUACUCUUUUUUUUUCUGGGUCUCCUCUCUGGAUUGGAGUAAUUUAGUUGACGUAAUGAUCAUUUAAGCACUCCCUUGCACAGAACAUAAAUUUGUUUUGAUAGAAGAUUAUCAGAUCUUUAGAACUUCAGGUUUUAAAAUCUCCAUUCAGUAUGGAUAGCUAUUGUAUUUUGUUUGAGGGGACUGAUGAAGAAAAUCCCAUGAGGGGAAGAGCUCUUUGCAUAAUGCCUUGCCUUAGUGAGGAGCUGUGAUAACUUUUUGAUAUGCAAUACCCAAGGAUAGAGUUCAUGGAACCAUUUUACACCAACCUUUCCUAGCUUACUUCCACAAGAUCAUCUUAUUUCCUUCUAGGAAGUACCUGGUUUGAAUCCUCUGGUUUGCAGCUGCCAUAGCUCUUCCAGCAUUCUGAGCCAAAGAAAAGUUGGCUCAAGAAUGUUUGUGUCCUACUGGGUCUUCUUGUUAGGACCUACAGUGGGCAAUUGGAACUGCACAGGGUGGAACCUCUCAGAUGGGUUCAUUUCACUUUCCUAUCAUUGUCUUUGCCUGUCAUAUGAAAGACAGGGGACACAAGACCAAACUGAAACUUUAUUUCCUUGAUCUUUUGGCCAUCAUCUUGAAAAUAGAAGUCCUUUCACCCUCCCAAGGUUGACCCACGAUUAUUUAGUGUCUUGGUCUCCCUUAGACUUCCCUGGUGGCUCAGAUGGUAAAGCAUCUGCCUACAAUGCGAGAGACCCAGGUUCGAUCCCUGGGUUGGGAAGAUCCUCUGGAGAAGGAAAUGGCACCCCACUCCAGUACUCUUGCCUGGAAAAUCCCAUGGACGGAGGAGCCUGGUAGGCUACAGUCCAUGAGGUCACAAAGAGUUGAAGACAACUGAGUGACUUCACUUUCUUACAGUUCAUAUUCCUGAUGUGACAUCUCCUCAAGUUCACCUACCUUUUGGAGCCUUUUAGCUCCUACUGACUCAUCCCAUGAAUUGGAAUGAAUUUACCUUUUUUUCUAAGAGGGAAUGUAUCUCACUAUUAAUGAAAUGCAUCUUGCACUGAGGGAUGCUGCCACCCGUACUCCUUUUCUGAUUCAGAUCGGAUCAGAUCAGACUGACAGCCCAUUCUCCAUCCAGUUGGUGGAUCCUUAGGCUAUUUGGCCAAAAAAACAAAAAACCCCACUCCAGGGAAAACAAGCAGCUGCAUGAGCGUGAGCAGAAUCUAUAGCUGUGAACCAAGAAAGGAAGGUGGUAAGACAUUCAGAUCUCAGGUACCACCAAGGCUCAGUAUUCCUAACUGCGAUCUAAACUGAGUCUCCUAGCCUGUGCAACUUGAUGGCUGACUAAUGGUUGUAGGCAAAACUACAUUAAUUUGGGAUAUAACCCUUGCAUGGCCAGACAGAAUGAAUGGUUCCCUGAUGUGAUUUCUAGUCAGGUAAAAUAAUACUAACAUGUCCUAGCCUUUUUAAAAAGCCUUUUCUUUUAAAGGUUUGGUUAAGCUAGAAAGACAGACCCUUUCCAAGUGUACAAUUUUUAGUUCUGUCAGACACCAUCACACAGUAGCUCACAUAUGAGUUUCAACUGCUCCUUAAAAUUCCCUGGUGCCUUUUUGUAGCCAACUCCCAUCCCCACCUCAGGAAGCCACUGAUGUCUCCUGUCCAUGUAGUUCUUUUCCGGAAUGCUCUGUAAAUAGAGGCUUUUCACUUAGCAUGAGGCUUCUGACGAUCCAUUUGUGUUUUAUCGUGUUUUUAUUCCUUAGUAUUUCAUUGUAUGGAUGUACCCUUCUAUCCAUUCAACUGUAAGGAUAUUUGAGUUUUCAGAUUUUGGUGAUUAUGAAUAAAGCUAUUAUAUUCAUACACA